GAUGAACGCUAGCGAUAGGCUUAACACAUGCAAGUCGAGGGGCAGCAUGGUCUUAGCUUGCUAAGACUGAUGGCGACCGGCGCACGGGUGCGUAACGCGUAUGCAACUUGCCUCACAGAGGGGGAUAACCCGUCGAAAGACGGACUAAUACCGCGUACACUUGGGAUAGGGCAUCCUGACCCAAGGAAAUGAAAUUCGCUGUGAGAUAGGCACGCGUCCCAUUAGCUAGUUGGUGAGGUAACGGCUCACCAAGGCGACGAUGGGUAGGGGAACUGAGAGGUUGAACCCCCACACUGGUACUGAGACACGGACCAGACUCCUACGGGAGGCAGCAGUGAGGAAUAUUGGUCAAUGGGCGAGAGCCUGAACCAGCCAAGUCGCGUGAAGGAUGACUGUCUUAUGGAUUGUAAACUUCUUUUAUACGGGAAUAACAAGAGCCACGUGUGGCUCCCUGCACGUACCGUAUGAAUAAGCAUCGGCUAACUCCGUG
RNAcentral lists this ribosomal RNA (490 nucleotides) under uncultured bacterium. RNAcentral describes it as "partial 16S ribosomal RNA". It matches the Rfam family "Bacterial small subunit ribosomal RNA", at positions 28 to 507 of the family's 1533-position model. The record is from RNAcentral.